RNAcentral lists this long non-coding RNA (1600 nucleotides) under Equus asinus (donkey). Its description in RNAcentral is "lncRNA (ENSEASG00005032813.1)". Lineage: Eukaryota; Metazoa; Chordata; Mammalia; Perissodactyla; Equidae. The record is from RNAcentral.
AACCUCCUGGAGAAGAAAGGAGCAGAAAGAAGAAAAGACUUCACCUGCAGGCAGGCUCGCUCCUGAGAGAGCCAAGGAGGGGCUUAGCUUCACAUGCCCAAUAAUCCAUCACCCAAUUUCACAGUCAGGUGAGCCAAUCUUCCUUCAGAGAAGGAGACGACCCCUCUUCUAGGGAUAACUGAAGAGUGGAUUAUAAGCAGCCCUGCUGUAAGCAAUGUAGGUACCAUCAUGAUCAUUGCAGUUAUGUUUACAAUUAUGUUUACAAUUGCCAACAAUCUAAAUAACCACCUACAGCUAUACAUGUACUGAUAUAGAACAGUGUUCAAGAUGUAUUACUGAAUGACAAGACAGAGUUACACAGCUCUACGCAGGGCCUAAUCUUAUCUGUAUCAAAGAAGAGCCACCACAGACCGAGAAGGCUCUGACCAGUGGCCAACAUUAUAAUCGCAAGGCGUCUGCUGGCCAAUCCUUAAGGGAGCAGCGCCUUUUUGUGGCUAGAUCGCUGUAACUGCGACCCAUACCUCUGGACUGGAGUGGAUGUCUGGGGCUACCGUAGAGGACACCUAAUUGAUUUCAUCUACCCCUGCAACAAGUCAUCUUCACUGAUCAGCUCACAAAUAUCCAGAUCACUCUAGUUUCAUUCCUCCUAAGAUCAGUUGCCCCAGCUCCUGAGAAUUUGCUUUUUUGAGUUUCUGAACCAUUUGUUCUUCAUCCAACAAAUAUUUGUGAAAAGCGUUGGAGAGCCAGGCACUGUUCUGGGUUUGUGUUACAAAUAGCCCUGUCGAGGCUCCUGCCCAAAAGAUGCUUAUGUUUUAGUCUGUAGCCAGAAAAGCCCACCGAGGACCAUAAUCAGCACCAGGAAUUUCCAUGGAAAAGAUGUGGACAGUGCUAUGACAGGAAGUUUGGCUGGCAGACCCUUUUGGAAUAGCUGCCUCUUCGCUGAGAACUGCCAUCAGUACUGCAAACUUACUUCUGGGGGCUCAUUUUCAUUAUUGCCGGCCUAUUUCAGUUCCCCCUUAGCCUACCCACACAGACGGUCUGAAUUAAGCAACUCUAACAUUGGGCAGUUCAGAAACAAAGGAAUCUCAUUCAUCAUUCAUGGAAUAUUUGAAUGAAAAAAAGUAAAACAAAAAUUGCACAAAUUUCUUGAUCUCCGCCUCCCUAUUCUGGAUCCCAUGAAGAAGACUGUCAUCAACCUCAGGUUGGAUGUGUUAACAAAGGACAAGAUAUCAAUGGCUCCUCCUAGACAAGUGGUUCUCAGAGGGUGGUUCCCAGACCAGCAACAGCAGCUUCACCAGAGAAUUCUUGGACCCCACCCCAGACCUACUGAAUCAGAAAUACUAGAGGUGGGGCUCAGCAAUCUGCAUUUCACCUCCAGGUGAUUCUGAUGCUCAAUAAAAUCUGAGACCUGCUGUCUUAGACCAUGGUUCAGUUGCAUGGUUCUCUCCUUUGCCAUCACAGGGAGAGGCUCAGGGUCAGGGUUUGGGAUUGGGGACACCAUCCCCAGGAUGGAUGUAAUGCUGACUGUGCAGCCCCAGGACAUGACUGGUGCUCACAUCUUUCAUGAAGUUCUCCCCACCCCAUCUAUCAGAGCAGAAGC